CGGGAGGAAUACCAGUGGCGAAGGCGGCCUUCUGGACUGACACUGACGCUGAGGUGCGAAAGCGUGGGUAGCAAACAGGAUUAGAUACCCUGGUAGUCCACGCCGUAAACGAUGUCGACCAGCCGUUGGGUGCCUUGAGCACUUUGUGGCGAAGUUAACGCGAUAAGUCGACCGCCUGGGGAGUACGGCCGCAAGGUUAAAACUCAAAUGAAUUGACGGGGGCCCGCACAAGCGGUGGAGCAUGUGGUUUAAUUCGAUGCAACGCGAAGAACCUUACCUACCCUUGACAUCCUGCGAAGCCGGAAGAGAUUCCGGUGUGCCUUCGGGAGCGCAGAGACAGGUGCUGCAUGGCUGUCGUCAGCUCGUGUUGUGAAAUGUUGGGUUAAGUCCCGUAACGAGCGCAACCCUUGUCCCUAUUUGCCAGCGGGUCAUGCCGGGAACUCUAGGGAGACUGCCGGUGACAAACCGGAGGAAGGUGGGGACGACGUCAAGUCAUCAUGGCCCUUACGGGUAGGGCUACACACGUGCUACAAUGGCCGGUACAAAGGGUUGCGAGCUCGCGAGAGUCAGCGAAUCCCAGAAAGCCGGUCUCAGUCCGGAUCGGAGUCUGCAACUCGACUCCGUGAAGUCGGAAUCGCUAGUAAUCGUGAAUCAGAAUGUCACGGUGAAUACGUUCCCGGGCCUUGUACACACCGCCCGUCACACCAUGGGAGUGGACUGCACCAGAAGUGGUUAGCCUAACGCAAGAGGG
Molecule: ribosomal RNA, 751 nt
Filed under: bacterium IBRC-M NA1
Lineage: Bacteria
Description: bacterial SSU rRNA
Rfam family: Bacterial small subunit ribosomal RNA
Source: RNAcentral